This 1293-nucleotide ribosomal RNA is filed under the name metagenome. Its description in RNAcentral is "bacterial SSU rRNA". It matches the Rfam family "Bacterial small subunit ribosomal RNA". The record is from RNAcentral.
CACCGCGUAUGGAACCUACCUUGUACAGGGGAAUAGCCUUUGGAAACGAAGAUUAAUGCCCCGUGGUACCACGCUCCGGCAUCGGGAUGUGGUUAAAGCCUUCGGGCGGUACAAGAUGGCCAUGCGUCCCAUCAGCUUGUUGGUAAGGUAACGGCUUACCAAGGCUACGAUGGGUAGGGGCCCUGAGAGGGGGAUCCCCCACACUGGUACUGAGACACGGACCAGACUCCUACGGGAGGCAGCAGUGAGGAAUAUUGGACAAUGGAGGAGACUCUGAUCCAGCCAUGCCGCGUGCAGGAAGAAUGCCCUAUGGGUAGUAAACUGCUUUUAUACAGGAAGAAAAAGAGCUACGUGUAGCUUACUGACGGUACUGUAAGAAUAAGGACCGGCUAACUCCGUGCCAGCAGCUGCGGUAAUACGGAGGGUCCGAGCGUUAUCCGGAAUUAUUGGGUUUAAAGGGUCCGUAGGCGGGCCGAUAAGUCAGGGGUGAAAGUUUGCAGCUCAACUGUAAAUUGCCUUUGAUACUGUUGGUCUUGAGUUAUAGUGAAGUUGCCGGAAUAUGUAGUGUAGCGUGAAAUGCAUAGACACUACAUAGAACACCGAUUGCGAAGGCAGGUGACUAACUAUAUGCUGUCCGGGGCCUUGAGUCCUGGGCGGCCAAGCGAAAGUGAUAAGUAUCCCACCUGGGGAGUACGUUCGCAAGAAUGAAACUCAAAGGAAUUGACGGGGGCCCGCACAAGCGGUGGAGCAUGUGGUUUAAUUCGAUGAUACGCGAGGAACCUUACCAGGGCUUAAAUGCAUAUUGACAGGUCUAGAGAUAGAUUUUCCUUCGGGCAAUUUGCAAGGUGCUGCAUGGUUGUCGUCAGCUCGUGCCGUGAGGUGUCAGGUUAAGUCCUAUAACGAGCGCAACCCCUACCGUUAGUUGCCAGCAUGUCAUGAUGGGGACUCUAACGGGACUGCCGGUGCAAACCGUGAGGAAGGUGGGGAUGACGUCAAAUCAUCACGGCCCUUACGUCCUGGGCCACACACGUGCUACAAUGGCAGGUACAGAGAGCAGCCAUGUCGCAAGGCAGAGCGAAUCUAUAAAACCUGUCACAGUUCGGAUCGGGGUCUGCAACUCGACCCCGUGAAGCUGGAAUCGCUAGUAAUCGGAUAUCAGCCAUGAUCCGGUGAAUACGUUCCCGGGCCUUGUACACACCGCCCGUCAAGCCAUGGAAGCCGGGAGUGCCUGAAGUCCGUCACCGUAAGGAGCGGCCUAGGGCAAGAUCGGUAACUAGGGCUAAGUCGUAACAA